UACGUAGGGGGCAAGCGUUGUCCGGAAUCAUUGGGCGUAAAGCGUCCGCAGGUGGCACUUCAAGUCUGUCGUCAAAGACCGGGGCUUAACCCUGGAAAGGCGAUGGAAACUGAAAGGCUAGAGAGAGGUAGGGGUAGAGGGAAUUCCCAGUGUAGCGGUGAAAUGCGUAGAGAUUGGGAAGAACAUCGGUGGCGAAAGCGCUCUACUGGACCUCAUCUGACACUCAGGGACGAAAGCUAGGGGAGCGAAUGGG
RNAcentral lists this ribosomal RNA (253 nucleotides) under uncultured bacterium. Its description in RNAcentral is "partial 16S ribosomal RNA". It matches the Rfam family "Bacterial small subunit ribosomal RNA", at positions 524 to 776 of the family's 1533-position model. The record is from RNAcentral.